RNAcentral lists this non-coding RNA (84 nucleotides) under Aerococcus sanguinicola. RNAcentral describes it as "Fluoride sequence". It matches the Rfam family "Fluoride riboswitch aptamer (crcB RNA motif)". Lineage: Bacteria; Bacillati; Bacillota; Bacilli; Lactobacillales; Aerococcaceae. The record is from Rfam by way of RNAcentral.
CAAGACACAGGAAAUGAAUGUCUUCCUUGGGCCUAGCCCUAAACCGCUAUUGAUGAUUCAAAAGCUGAUGACUUCUGCUGUAAA